Molecule: ribosomal RNA, 485 nt
Filed under: uncultured bacterium
Lineage: Bacteria
Description: partial 16S ribosomal RNA
Rfam family: Bacterial small subunit ribosomal RNA
Source: RNAcentral
GAUGAACGCUCGCGAUAGGCUUAACACAUGCAAGUCGAGGGGCAGCGAGGGUAGCAAUACCUGUCGGCGACCGGCGCACGGGUGAGUAACGCGUAUGUAACCUGCCCGCAACAGGGGGAUAACCCGGCGAAAGUCGGACUAAUACCGCAUAAAACAGGGGUCCCGCAUGGGAAUAUUUGUUAAAGAUUUAUCGGUUGCGGAUGGGCAUGCGUACCAUUAGGUAGUUGGUGAGGUAACGGCUCACCAAGCCUUCGAUGGUUAGGGGUUCUGAGAGGAAGGUCCCCCACACUGGUACUGAGACACGGACCAGACUCCUACGGGAGGCAGCAGUGAGGAAUAUUGGUCAAUGGGCGAGAGCCUGAACCAGCCAAGUCGCGUGAAGGAGGACUGCCCUAUGGGUUGUAAACUUCUUUUACAAGGGAAUAAAAUGAGAUACGUGUAUUUUAUUGCAUGUACCUUGGGAAUAAGCAUCGGCUAACUCCGUG